RNAcentral lists this ribosomal RNA (387 nucleotides) under Dipodomys ordii (Ord's kangaroo rat). Its description in RNAcentral is "partial 12S ribosomal RNA". It matches the Rfam family "Bacterial small subunit ribosomal RNA", at positions 796 to 1383 of the family's 1533-position model. Lineage: Eukaryota; Metazoa; Chordata; Mammalia; Rodentia; Heteromyidae. The record is from RNAcentral.
AUAGCCAUAAACAUAAGUAGUUCAUAACAUUACUACUCGCCAGAGAACUACAAGCCACCGCUUAAAACUCAAAGGACUUGGCGGUGCUUUAUAUCCAUCUAGAGGAGCCUGUUCCAUAACCGAUGAUCCCCGAUUUACCUCACCACUCCUUGCUAAUUCAGCCUAUAUACCGCCAUCUUCAGCUAACCCUAAAAAGGAAAUAAAGUAAGCCAAAUGAGUAAUUACUAAAGAAGUUAGGUCAAGGUGUAGCCUAUGGAGUGGAGCGAAAUGGGCUACAUUUUCUAUUACUAGAACAUUACGAAACCCUACGUGAAAUCCGUAGGAUAAAGGAGGAUUUAGUAGUAAAUUAAAACUAGAGUGUUUAAUUGAAUAGAGCAAUGAAGCACG